Notothenia coriiceps (black rockcod) is the source of this 109-nucleotide long non-coding RNA. RefSeq lists it as uncharacterized. The transcript is spliced from 3 exons. NCBI's taxonomy places the organism in Eukaryota, Metazoa, Chordata, Actinopteri, Perciformes, Nototheniidae. The record is from RefSeq and is a predicted model, not a curated record.
CUUAAGUAAAAGUAGAAAAGUGUUCUCAUCUAAAUAUAGUGAAAGACAGUAAAAGUAGUCAUUGUGCAGAUUGGUCCAUUUCAGAAUAAUAGAUAUGAUAUGUUUUAUA